Molecule: ribosomal RNA, 497 nt
Filed under: uncultured bacterium
Lineage: Bacteria
Description: partial 16S ribosomal RNA
Rfam family: Bacterial small subunit ribosomal RNA
Source: RNAcentral
GACGAACGCUGGCGGCGUGCCUAAUACAUGCGAGUUGAGCGCUGAAGGUUGGUACUUGUACCGACUGGAUGAGCAGCGAACGGGUGAGUAACGCGUGGGGAAUCUGCCUUUGAGCGGGGGACAACAUUUGGAAACGAAUGCUAAUACCGCAUAAAAACUUUAAACACAAGUUUUAAGUUUGAAAGAUGCAAUUGCAUCACUCAAAGAUGAUCCCGCGUUGUAUUAGCUAGUUGGUGAGGUAAAGGCUCACCAAGGCGAUGAUACAUAGCCGACCUGAGAGGAUGAUCGGCCACAUUGGGACGGAGACACGGCCCAAACGCCUACGGGAGGCAGCAGUAGGGAAUCUUCGGCAAUGGACGAAAGUCUGACCGAGCAACGCCGCGUGAGUGAAGAAGGUUUUCGGAUCGUAAAACUCUGUUGGUAGAGAAGAACGUUGGUGAGAGUGGAAAGCUCAUCAAGUGACGGUAACUACCCAGAAAGGGACGGCUAACUACGUG